CCCUUAGAUGUUCUGGGCUGCACGCGCGCUACACUGAAGCGUUCAACGAGUAUUCACCUUGCCCGGGAGGGUUGGGUAAUCUUUUGAAAACGCUUCGUGAUGGGGAUAGAUUAUUGCAAUUAUUAAUCUUCAACGAGGAAUUCCUAGUAAGCGCGAGUCAUCAGCUCGUGCUGAUUACGUCCCUGCCCUUUGUACACACCGCCCGUCGCACCUACCGAUUGAAUGGUCCGGUGAAAUCUCGGGACGGCGGCUUGGUCGCUUGCGUCCGACUGCUGAAACUUGAUUAAACCAUAUCAUUUAGAGGAAGGUGAAGUCGUANCA
RNAcentral lists this ribosomal RNA (321 nucleotides) under uncultured eukaryote. RNAcentral's name for it is "partial 18S ribosomal RNA". It matches the Rfam family "Eukaryotic small subunit ribosomal RNA", at positions 1470 to 1796 of the family's 1831-position model. The record is from RNAcentral.